UCGUGUUGAGUCCGACGUGGUGAGUGGUCGUGUGGUAAAUUAAGCUCGCGACUAUCACAUAUUUUUGUGAAAAAAUCAUUUAAAAAACCAAAAAAAAAAAAUAAAAAUAUAUAAAAAUCAACAAAAAAAAUUGCAAAAAGUAGCAAAAAUCGAGCAAGUGUAUAAAACUUCUUUUAAGUUUUUCUUUUGUGUAGAUUUUUCUCUUCAACGUUAUUGAAGAGAGCAAUUGAAAGAAGCGUGCAAAGAUAAAUUGUAUCCGACAGAUAAUAAAAUGAAUUCUGGAGGACCCAACUAUCAAAUGGCAUCACUUUAUGUUGGCGAUUUACAUCAGGAUAUCAACGAGGCUGGUUUAUUUGAAAAAUUUUCAACCGCUGGUCCGGUAUUAUCCAUUCGAGUUUGCCGUGAUGUAAUUACACGUCGUUCACUGGGCUAUGCCUAUGUAAAUUUCCAGCAACCAGCUGACGCGGAACGCGCGUUAGAUACGAUGAAUUUUGAUUUAAUUCGUAACAAGCCUAUACGCAUUAUGUGGUCACAGCGGGACCCAUCUUUGCGUCGUUCGGGCGUGGGAAAUGUCUUUAUUAAAAAUCUUGAUAAAAGUAUUGACAAUAAAGCGAUUUAUGACACUUUUUCUGCGUUUGGCAACAUAUUGAGUUGUAAAGUUGCAACCGACGAAAAGGGCAAUUCAAAAGGAUAUGGUUUCGUACAUUUUGAAACCGAAGAAUCAGCUAACACUUCGAUAGAAAAGGUCAAUGGCAUGUUGUUAAAUGCUAAAAAAGUCUACGUAGGUAAAUUCAUUCCACGCAAGGAACGCGAGAAGGAAUUGGGAGAAAAAGCAAAACUGUUUACUAAUGUGUACGUAAAGAAUUUUGGAGAAGAUUUUGAUGACGAGAAGUUGAAGGAGUUAUUUGAGCCUUUCGGAAAAAUAACCAGCUAUAAGGUAAUGGUUAAAGACGAUGGGAAAAGUAAAGGUUUCGGCUUCGUAGCUUAUGAGACCACCGAAGCAGCUGAAGCCGCUGUUGACGCGUUAAAUGGAAAAGAUAUGGGCGAGGGUAAAGUGUUAUAUGUUGCUCGUGCACAGAAGAAAGCUGAACGCCAACAAGAACUGAAGCGCAAGUUCGAAGAAUUAAAGAAGAAACGGCAAGAAUCGGUAUUUGGCGUUAAUUUGUAUGUUAAAAACUUGGAUGACAGUGUAGAUGAUGAGCGUCUACGCAAAGAAUUUUCGAUGUAUGGUACCAUUACAUCUGCCAAGGUUAUGACCGAUGAAGAGGGACGUUCCAAAGGUUUUGGAUUUGUCUGCUUCAUUUCGCCCAAUGAAGCAACCUGUGCCGUCACUGAAGUGAAUGGACGUGUGGUCGGUUCGAAGCCAUUGUAUGUAGCUUUGGCUCAACGUAAAGAAGACCGUAAAGCACAUUUGGCAUCACAAUACAUGCGUCAUAUGUCGGGUAUGCGUAUGCAACAAUUAGGUCAAAUAUUCCAACCAAACGCCGCAGGCGGCUUUUUCGUACCAACCAUGGCGCCAGGGCAACGUUUCUUUGGUCCACAAGUGACCCAACCGAUUCGUAAUACACCAAGAUGGGCACCACAGGUGCGCCCUGCCGCUGGCGUACAAGGUGUCACACAGGCUGGCGCUGCAGCCGCUGCUGGUAGCUUCACAAAUGCCGCCGCCAUGGCAGCAACCGGUAACGCCCAGUUCCGCCCAGCAGCAGCCGCUGCCCGUGGCCAACCGCAGACAGUUCAAGGCGCGCACGCUGCAGCCGCCGCUGCCAACACAAUGCGCAAUACUGGCGCACGCGCUAUCACAGGUCAGCAAACAGUCGCUGCGGGUAAUAUUCCAAUGGCUGGAGCACCAAUUACUGCAGGCGGUGCUCAGCAACGCGCUGCCAACUAUAAAUAUACCGCCAACAUGCGCAAUCCACCUCCACAACCGGUCCAACAACAACCGCAAGUGCAGCCAAUGCACCAGAAGGGUCAAGAGAAGCUAAUUGCUUCUUUAUUGGCUAAUGCCAAGCCACAGGAACAAAAACAAAUUUUGGGUGAACGCUUGUAUCCUAUGAUCGAGCGCAUGCAUCCACUUAUGGCUGGCAAGAUUACCGGAAUGUUAUUAGAGAUAGAGAAUUCCGAAUUGUUGCACAUGAUAGAGGAUCAAGAUGCUUUGAAAGCCAAAGUUGAAGAAGCUGUUGCCGUUUUGCAGGUUCAUCGUGUUGCUGAGCCAACUAAUUAAAAUACCUUUAUGGAAAUCACAUCAUGCUAGCCGAACUAAAAAGUUUCGUAAUUUUAAAUAUGUUAUUCAUACUGCUUCUAGCCUCAACGUCAGAAAACACAGAAAUGGUCCUCAUUAUUCAAUUCAGAACAAAAAACGUCAGUUAAUUACCUUUUCAAUUCAACCAAUCAAAACGCAAGCGUUUUUUAACAUACAAUCAAUAUAACAUCCUAGCGAGUAAUGCAAAGCUGCCAAGUGACGUGUACACAGUAAUUUCAAAACUGUGUAUUAAGAUUAUAUGAAAAUCAAGAACUAAAACUGAAAAUGAAAAAAUCAAAACUUGGAAUAGAAGAAGAAUUGAAACCAAGAAUUCGGAAGGUGGCACGCCGAAAGAAACAAAAGCAAAACUGAAAACCAGCCACACUUGUGGUUUGAAUUUUAUAAUUUCCUAAAAUUGUAAUAGUUUCAUAAUCUCUGGCGCGAUGAGGUAAUUUUAAUAUAUUUUUUUUUUAUAACCACCACCACCAACUACAACAACCAUACUAAACUCAUACAAGCAUUGCAAACAAUACCAAAUUUUCAUAUUUUUCACUUGAAUAAAAAUUUGUUUUUGUCAUUUACUUGAAGCAAAUGCGUUUCAGUGUACAUUUGUAAUGGAUUAUAAUUUGAAAGUUGCUCUAUUUUGUAAUGAAUGCAUUUGGUUGAAUUGAAGAGAGUUUCAUCUUCUAUAUACUUGAGAAGCGAUUGGGCAGGCUUAGGUAAACAAAAGUAAUUAACAUGUAUGUAAGAGAGAAAUAAUUGAAAAAAUCAAACAAAAAAAUUGCAAAAGCGUAUGAAAAAAUGAAAAAUUUGGAGUGUGGUUAUUCAAACAGAUAAAAAAUAUUAAUAUCAACCGAAAAGAACGGCUCAGUUCUGUCAUCCACUCUCUGAAUGUAAUAAAACAAACAAACAACAUGAGAAUAGAAUUGCUUGUAAAAGAAAAUAUUGAAUAGGGCGAAAAAGUAAACGUUCAAUGAUUUUUUGCUACUUUAAACAAAUAUAAUAAAAAUUGAAAAUAUAUAUACGUCAGACACAACCGCUGACAAGCAGAACUUAAAAAUAAAAACAAAAAAAAUCGCAAAAUUAAUAUAAAAACGGUCCUAGCUGACCAGAAAAACACAAUAAAUAUAAUGAAUGAAAUAACUGAAUUAUAAAUAUACAACUUUUAUCAAAUAUAAAAAACAUAGUAUGUGUAAGACCGUUGAUAAAUUUCAAAGUCGAACCGCGGGAAUAUUUUCAAUUGCGCCCGAUCAAAUGUGUGGAUGGGCAUGCAAAAUACAGGGUGGACCAUAAGUCCCUUCAUAUUUGAAUGUGUACGUGAGAGCGAUGUCGAGUUAGGAAAUGCAAGAUUACGGUCGAAGCAAGGAUUUUUCGAUAAUGAAAAUUUAAAAUAGUUUCCGAAAACCUUUGUCAUGAACAACCUGAACUCGUAUUACUGUACCCGAAAAUCGGAACAUCUUUUUAACCGCAAUCCGAAAUUCAAAUAUUGGGUAGUCGAAAAAGUAUUUUCGUACUUCUAAUCAAACUUCAACUUAUUUUUUUUAUAUUGCAAAAAUAAAAGCUUAUUUAUCUAGUUUUUCUCAUUAUUUAGGCAUUAGGACACCUUUUGGUCCACCCUGAAGCAAUGGUAAAAAUUCAGUAAUAAAUCAAUUCCAAUAUUGAACAAUAUUUUAACCGAACAAUAUAAAAAUUUAAUUAUACCUAUCUUGAUCUGGUGAAAUGAGAAUUUAAAUAAAAUAUAAACUUUUGGCAUAAGUA
Molecule: unclassified non-coding RNA, 3997 nt
Filed under: Bactrocera tryoni
Lineage: Eukaryota; Metazoa; Arthropoda; Insecta; Diptera; Tephritidae
Description: polyadenylate-binding protein, transcript variant X1
Source: RNAcentral